UCAGACACGUCAGAGUUUGAUCCUGGCUCAGGAUGAACGCUAGCUACAGGCUUAACACAUGCAAGUCGAGGGGAAACGGCGGAGGAGCUUGCUUCUUCGGACGUCGACCGGCGCACGGGUGAGUAACGCGUAAAGAACUUGCCUCUUAGACCGGGACAACAUCUGGAAACGGAUGCUAAUACCGGAUAUUAUGGUUUCUUCGCAUGGAGGAAUCAUGAAAGCUAGAUGCGCUAAGAGAGAGCUUUGCGUCCCAUUAGCUGGUUGGUGAGGUAACGGCCCACCAAGGCAAUGAUGGGUAGCCGGCCUGAGAGGGUGAACGGCCACAAGGGGACUGAGACACGGCCCUU
Molecule: ribosomal RNA, 347 nt
Filed under: uncultured bacterium
Lineage: Bacteria
Description: bacterial SSU rRNA
Rfam family: Bacterial small subunit ribosomal RNA
Source: RNAcentral